CAGUGGGGAAUUUUGGACAAUGGGGGCAACCCUGAUCCAGCCAUGCCGCGUGAGUGAAGAAGGCCUUCGGGUUGUAAAGCUCUUUCGGCUGGGAAGAAAUCGCAUCUCCUAAUACGGGGUGUGGAUGACGGUACCAGCAUAAGAAGCACCGGCUAACUACGUGCCAGCAGCCGCGGUAAUACGUAGGGUGCGAGCGUUAAUCGGAAUUACUGGGCGUAAAGCGUGCGCAGGCGGUUUCGUAAGACAGAGGUGAAAUCCCCGGGCUCAACCUGGGAACUGCCUUUGUGACUGCGAGGCUAGAGUAUGGCAGAGGGGGGUGGAAUUCCACGUGUAGCAGUGAAAUGCGUAGAGAUGUGGAGGAACACCGAUGGCGAAGGCAGCCCCCUGGGCCAAUACUGACGCUCAUGCACGAAAGCGUGGGGAGCAAACAGGAUUAGAUACCCUGGUAGUCCACGCCCUAAACGAUGUCAACUAGGUGUUGGGAGGGUUAAACCUUUUAGUACCGUAGCUAACGCGUGAAGUGACCGCC
This 529-nucleotide ribosomal RNA is filed under the name bacterium enrichment culture. Its description in RNAcentral is "bacterial SSU rRNA". It matches the Rfam family "Bacterial small subunit ribosomal RNA", at positions 352 to 873 of the family's 1533-position model. The record is from RNAcentral.